GAUGAACGCUGGCGGCGUGCCUAAUACAUGCAAGUCGAGCGAACAGAUCAGGAGCUUGCUCCUCUGACGUUAGCGGCGGACGGGUGAGUAACACGUGGAUAACCUACCUAUAAGACUGGGAUAACUUCGGGAAACCGGAGCUAAUACCGGAUAAUAUAUUGAACCGCAUGGUUCAAUAGUGAAAGACGGUUUUGCUGUCACUUAUAGAUGGAUCCGCGCCGCAUUAGCUAGUUGGUAAGGUAACGGCUUACCAAGGCAACGAUGCGUAGCCGACCUGAGAGGGUGAUCGGCCACACUGGAACUGAGACACGGUCCAGACUCCUACGGGAGGCAGCAGUAGGGAAUCUUCCGCAAUGGGCGAAAGCCUGACGGAGCAACGCCGCGUGAGUGAUGAAGGUCUUCGGAUCGUAAAACUCUGUUAUUAGGGAAGAACAAAUGUGUAAGUAACUAUGCACGUCUUGACGGUACCUAAUCAGAAAGCCACGGCUAACUACGUG
Molecule: ribosomal RNA, 497 nt
Filed under: uncultured bacterium
Lineage: Bacteria
Description: partial 16S ribosomal RNA
Rfam family: Bacterial small subunit ribosomal RNA
Source: RNAcentral